Molecule: ribosomal RNA, 492 nt
Filed under: uncultured bacterium
Lineage: Bacteria
Description: partial 16S ribosomal RNA
Rfam family: Bacterial small subunit ribosomal RNA
Source: RNAcentral
AGUGAACGCUGGCGGUAGGCCUAACACAUGCAAGUCGAACGGCAGCACAGUAAGAGCUUGCUCUUACGGGUGGCGAGUGGCGGACGGGUGAGGAAUACAUCGGAAUCUACUUUUUCGUGGGGGAUAACGUAGGGAAACUUACGCUAAUACCGCAUACGACCUACGGGUGAAAGCAGGGGAUCUUCGGACCUUGCGCGAUUGAAUGAGCCGAUGUCGGAUUAGCUAGUUGGCAGGGUAAAGGCCCACCAAGGCGACGAUCCGUAGCUGAUCUGAGAGGAUGAUCAGCCACACUGGAACUGAGACACGGUCCAGACUCCUACGGGAGGCAGCAGUGGGGAAUAUUGGACAAUGGGCGCAAGCCUGAUCCAGCCAUACCGCGUGGGUGAAGAAGGCCUUCGGGUUGUAAAGCCCUUUUGUUGGGAAAGAAAAGCAGCAGGUUAAUACCCCGCUGUUCUGACGGUACCCAAAGAAUAAGCACCGGCUAACUUCGUG